UUGUCAAAAAAGAAAAGAAAAAGAGGGUCACACUGUCUCUGCGUGACUCGUUCUACUGGAGACAACCACAAAAUGAGCCUUCUUUUCAACUCUAGUGUCACUUUAUUCAUUUCUCUUGGGGAUUACUUUUUUAUCUUUGGGGACUUAUUUAAUUUCAGUGUCUUUCAAUGCCAGGAGAAUAAGCAUUUCUAUUUCAUACAGUCAAGAGAAUGGAGAAGGUGUGGAGGUGACUGGCUGCACAUCUCCACUGGUUGAAGAAAGACAGAUUCUGGUUGUGCACCUUCAUGUCAGGAAAUCCAGGGAAUGAAAGCUGAGAGACAACCACAAGAUCUGCUGAAUCUGAAUCCACAUGUAAUGGCUUUUGUUGGCCACUGUGAUUUUACAAGAUUUUACAAGAUGUGGGUGUAAGAUUUUGCCUCUGGGCCAAAAGUAAGAGUCUGCAUAACAAACUUGUAUCCUUGAGCCUUACUGUAACUAUGGAGACUGGGAAAGGAAAGAGCUUUCUUCAAGGACUUCUGAGCAGGAGAAGGGUCAUGGCUGGAGAAAAAGGCCAAACAACUCUGCACUCAAUAAACUGAAGCAGGAAACCGCAGCAUGACUCAUUUCUUAUGCGUAAUGUAUCAUCAGAGCUCUCCCGUUACAGUUCACUGGUGGAAAUGAAGUUCAUCUUUCUCUGGCUUUCAGGAAACUGCUGAGAGAAAACUCCUUUAGGCAAGCCACAGCUCCAGUGCUGGGUGUUUUGCAAGCAGAAGAGCAAUGCUGAUACCGGACUGCUGUUAGAUCCAAACUGAUACUUGGCAUUGUCUUACCCCUGACCGAAGUUUCAGGUUCUCUUCAAACCACCUUUGCUUGGUGAGAACUUUGGUAUCCUGGUAUCCAUAGCCUCAGUGUGGAAGACAACUCUUUUCUUCUUAUUCUCCAUGUAAUAAUGUGAACAGCAAGAAAAACAGCUCUGAUAAUGAAAAUAAGCUAAAACAAUGAAGUUUUUUACUGGGUUUUUUUGGACAACGAUUGGCAGUUAAACCAGACCUUGAAAGCGAACCAACUUAGAUUCUGUUCCAAUUUUGAUUUAAUAAUUGUUUUUGUGGGACUGUGAUAUGGGGACUCUUACUGAACUUCACAACAAAAAUAAUUGAUUCUGUUCUCAAGUUUCCUGCAGGAUUUUAGAUUGGGGAUAAAAGCACCAAGGAUGUAUUGAGAAUGCCCAGUGAUUUGGGGAGGUAAAACAGGGGGUAGAGACUCACACACAGACAUAGACAGUGCUGACCUAGAGCCAUCUUGCUUUUUGUUUUGUAACAAAAUGUCCACAGAAGACUCCUGUCCUAAAAUAUUAAACCAUAGACUACUGGCUGUAUUUUAAAACUGUUUUUGUUUUCAUAAAAAGCUACAUUAUAAUAUCUUGGCAUGGUACUCAGCGCCAUCAAUUGUGUAAAAUUCUGUUGCCUGCUGUUCUUUUCUAUCAUUAAUAAUACAUCCUAAGACGGGAGUGAGAACAGAGUCUUGCAAUGCUAGCUGAUAAGAUAGCUGAAAAUGCUUCUUUCAUUCCAACUAAGAUGAUAAAAAUAAGGAGGAAUCUUUCAGACUGUAGAUGACAGAUUCAAAGCUGAACUCGGAGCAUCUGACCCUGCUCAAAGUUGUGGAACUUCACUGCCUUGGAGGAAAAGUGGAACUGAAAUUUAAAAAAAAAGGAAAAAACUCCACCCUGGAGACAGUUAUACUCCCAAGCCCUGAGUUUAGCCUUGAAAGUAUUAGCAUGAUUUUCUCUAUGCUCUAAUGAUCAGUCAGUGUACUGUAAAUUAAUCCUACGCAAUUGAAAAAACCAAUUUUUUUAGUCUACUUUUUUUCUCCUCAGUUUUUGAAGGCUUUAUCCUUCCAAUGUCCUGAAAAUAUUGCCUUUAUCCUAAUCUGAAAAUUAAAAAAAGAAGAAUUCCUAGAAAUCCUAUUGUUCUUCCAGGCAUGUUUUUUGGAGAAUAGUGCCUAUAAAAGCAAUGGUGAUGUGCCCUUUCUUAGGAGGUAGGUCAAGAACUUCAAAUUUGAGCCCAUAAACAAGAUGAUAGGUUUCUUGCUCUCCAAAUCAGUCAUCUUGGAAAUCUGUUUUUCAUUCGAGUUUAUGUUGUUCAGAUGUAGCAUUAGACUUUUGUUCUGUCUUUCUGCAGUGAAAAUACAUGUGGUUUUUGCUAAUGAAGAAAUUUGUUGUUUGCUUACUUUUAUUCUGCUUGUCUCUUGUAGAGGGCAGUUCAGGUAUACCUGAGAGGACUGGAAUGCUAAUUUUCAUGUUGUAACAGAGAGGAGGCAGCGGACAAUCUCAAAUGAAGUUCUGGAUCUGUCCCUCUCAUGUCCCUUUAUAGCUAGGGAGGCCAGCAAGCUACUUUGAAAGUAAAUAAAGAUAUGUUGUUUCAACUCUUCAACCUGAAGAAUAAUUUGGCACAAGAAAAACAUCUGGACUGGUCAUGAGCAAAAGAAUGCAAAAAACUUGGAAACGGCUUCCAGUCACAGAAACACUGAGGUUCUGAAACAGCCUUCCUAUGCAACCAGUUAGAUUUGCUGGGGGCUUCUUUGCAUUAUCUUGUUUUCAGAUUAUAGUUUGAUAAUUCUGAAUGGGAUUGUAAAGUGUGAUUGCCAGCUUCUGCAGACAAACAGAAUUAUUUACUUUUAUACCAAUUCCUAACAUAUUUGGUAAUCAGAUUUCAAAA
Molecule: long non-coding RNA, 2693 nt
Organism: Haemorhous mexicanus (house finch)
Lineage: Eukaryota; Metazoa; Chordata; Aves; Passeriformes; Fringillidae
Exons: 3
Source: RefSeq, a predicted model, not a curated record